AACGCUGGCGGCGUGCUAAUACAUGCAAGUAGAACGCUGAAGGAGGAGCUUGCUUCUCCGGAUGAGUUGCGAGCGGGUGAGUAACGCGUAGGUAACCUGCCUGGUAGCGGGGGAUAACUAUUGGAAACGAUAGCUAAUACCGCAUAAGAGUAGAUGUUGCAUGACAUUUGCUUAAAAGGUGCAAUUGCAUCACUACCAGAUGGACCUGCGUUGUAUUAGCUAGUUGGUGGGGUAACGGCUCACCAAGGCGACGAUACAUAGCCGACCUGAGAGGGUGAUCGGCCACACUGGGACUGAGACACGGCCCAGACUCCUACGGGAGGCAGCAGUAGGGAAUCUUCGGCAAUGGACGGAAGUCUGACCGAGCAACGCCGCGUGAGUGAAGAAGGUUUUCGGAUCGUAAAGCUCUGUUGUAAGAGAAGAACGAGUGUGAGAGUGGAAAGUUCACACUGUGACGGUAUCUUACCAGAAAGGGACGGCUAGCUACGUGCCAGCAGCCGCGGUAAUACGUAGGUCCCGAGCGUUGUCCGGAUUUAUUGGGCGUAAAGCGAGCGCAGGCGGUUAGAUAAGUCUGAAGUUAAAGGCUGUGGCUUAACCAUAGUACGCUUUGGAAACUGUUUAACUUGAGUGCAAGAGGGGAGAGUGGAAUUCCAUGUGUAGCGGUGAAAUGCGUAGAUAUAUGGAGGAACACCGGUGGCGAAAGCGGCUCUCU
Molecule: ribosomal RNA, 712 nt
Filed under: uncultured Bacilli bacterium
Lineage: Bacteria; Bacillati; Bacillota; Bacilli
Description: bacterial SSU rRNA
Rfam family: Bacterial small subunit ribosomal RNA
Source: RNAcentral